GUACUUGCCUGGCAGGGAGAUACCAUGAUCAUGAAGGUGGUUUUCCCAGGGUGAGGCUUAUCCAUUGCACUCCAGAUGUGCUGACCCCUGCGAUUUCCCCAAAUGUGAGAAACCCAACUGCAUAAUUUGUGGUGGGGGACUUCAUUCAUAUUCUCCCCUU
Molecule: small nuclear RNA, 160 nt
Organism: Peromyscus californicus insignis
Lineage: Eukaryota; Metazoa; Chordata; Mammalia; Rodentia; Cricetidae
Product: U1 spliceosomal RNA
Exons: 1
Source: RefSeq, a predicted model, not a curated record